Papaver somniferum (opium poppy) is the source of this 1197-nucleotide long non-coding RNA. RefSeq lists it as uncharacterized. The transcript is spliced from 2 exons. The record is from RefSeq and is a predicted model, not a curated record. Lineage: Eukaryota; Viridiplantae; Streptophyta; Magnoliopsida; Ranunculales; Papaveraceae.
CUCCAUAGACGGUCAUAUAAACGGCGCGUAGCAUAAGGUCAUUUAUAAUGCCUAUUCAACACCCCUGAUGUGAAUUUUGCUGUUUCGAAAACGUACGGGAGUUUGUUGUGCCAUCGUCCACUAUUUCGUGCAGUCUAGAUAGGAAAAUCAGCAGUGCAUUGUAGCCUACAAAGUCACCAAUUUAUCAUUCAUGAAUAUUAUGAAAUUUCCGCAUCAACAACAAUGUAGUGUCUCAGUGUUAAAGUUAAUGUAGUAAUUUAAAGUUUAUUUUUGUGGAUGGAUUCGUUUUGGGGGAUAGUGCGACAUACAGUAGUGCCAUGUGUACGAGAGAACCUGUUUAUGAGUGUGAUGUGGAUUGGCACUUUCUUUAUUCGAACGAAGAGCUCAAAAAUUGUGUCGCAGAUAAAUGAUGGUGGAGUGGAGUAAGGAAAAUGAGUGAGGCACAUAAAAAAAGAACAAUUAUCAAGUGGAUGCGGUACUUUGCUUUUGAUUCAAGCUUUUAGGCUUUUGGCAUGAUUCCUGGGUGGGUGAAAAUAGAAGAUGAUUGUAUACAUAUAGAAGAUGGUGUGUCUAGUUGGAAGUGGGAUUCCAAAAGAAGACUUCGCAAAUGUAGAGGAUGCUCGUAGUAAAACACCCAAUUUAGGCACAAGCUUUUGAAGGACAUGGUGGCGAAGCACAUCGCACAAAGGAACAAAUCAAUCUUUUAAUAUCAUGCCAUGCAAAUGGGAAAUAUGGAUAUUCUGCUGUAGAUGUUCUUGAAGGAUGAACCAAUUGAACAAACUUAUACAGAAGCCGGUUUCCACUGAAUUGCCAAAUCGAACUCAAGUAUACUCGGGGUAUAUGGGUGAUAUCAAAAUAAUUCCAUUCAUCAAAACCUGAUCGAUACCAAUGUUUCACCAUUCGUGUCUCCAGAAAUCACGACUCGCCUUAACUCUUUUCAGAAAUGCAAAUGUCCUGUCAUCCUUUUUUAAAAAACAAGAUCAAAGUUAUGGAGAAAAAUAAUCAUUUGUGGUACCCUGUUAUAAAAACAACUGCUAAGAGGUUGAGAAAGAAUUUGGAAACUAAAAUUAGUGCUGAAAUGGUGAGAAAACAAUUAACUAGAUUUUUGGAUUAUAGUAUGUAUCCCUUUUCUCGGCAAAAUAAACACUGUAACCUUUUUUUAUUCAAAAAUAAUUAUUAGAUAUAUUAACCUGUGAA